Molecule: long non-coding RNA, 3498 nt
Filed under: Bos indicus x Bos taurus (hybrid cattle)
Lineage: Eukaryota; Metazoa; Chordata; Mammalia; Artiodactyla; Bovidae
Description: lncRNA (ENSBIXG00005005935.1)
Source: RNAcentral
UUUCCAGUGUGGUCACCUCCUGCUGGAAGCCUGUGAUGCUGGAAUCAGGCCACUUCCUGUUUGUCUUUACAGGACACUGGGCUGCACUCUGAGAAGUUCCUGGAUCUCCCCUGGACCUGACCAUCAUGUGGCCAGAGAAAUUGGUAACAUUGUUGUUUUGCCUGUUGAAAUGUUUAAUGACAUGGAUUCUUUCAGUUUCCUGAUGUGUGUGAAGUGUGGAGCCCAGUGAUGAUUUCUUCUUCAAGAAAUCUACAUUCUUGCUCCCCUAGGAGGGUGGGCCCCCUACCAACGGUGAGAGACCCUGCAUGUGUGUGACCUGUGCCUCCUGGGAGACCAGCCCUAAACUAGUUUGAACCUGACCAAGUUCUGUCUAUAUGGUAGAUUUAGACCUCUCCAAGUCUUGUCUACACUGAUGUUUAGACGAGAGCGUGUGCUUUCUGCAGUGAGGACAUUUAGGCCUGACCUUGUACUCUCUGCACUAGGUCGUAGAGACCUGGCCUGGCCUCUGUCCUGGAAAACUCUAUGCCUGCAUCUGAACGUCAAUGCUCAGGGGUCUGGAGCUGAGAUGGGCUUCUCUGGGUAACCGUGCUCUUCUCUGAGUGGGGUUCCAUGGCCCUCCCAGGGGUCAGUGUUGUGGUAGGGUUUGUAGUCUUUCUCCCUGCAAGAUUCACCUUCCCUGGGGCUCCUUGAGACUCCUCAGGUGGGCUGACUAGUAAUUUAUUCCAAUGUUCCAGCACAUUUAGGUUUAAUAGGGAGGCAGGUUCACCUGGCGAAUUGAUUCCAGGGCACAGGGAUCAGGCAAAAAGUCAAUGGGCAGCAGGUGAGGGUGCUGCUGUGACCUCCUUCCAGUCGACUCUCGCCUCCAAAGAGAACAGAGCUUCCCCUCAUCUUUCAGCCCAGCUCUCCUGUUUUCUCAGCACUUCAGCAGGACAAGAAAGACAGAGCCUGCCAGAACCAAGUCGACCGUCCCUCCUCAGCAGAGACCAGACCUGCCCCUCGUCUCCCAGCCCUGCGCCUGGUGUGUGUUUUGUCAACACUUCAGUGGAACAAGAAAGGACCAAGCCUGCAAGAACCAAGGUGUAUAUGAACUUGAUUCAGUUAUACCUGCUGCUGCUGCUGCUGCCGCCGCCUCGCUUUAGUCAUGUCCGACUCUGUGCGACCCCAUAAACAGCAGCCCACCAGGCUUCCCGUCCCUGGGAUUCUCCAGGCAAGAACACUGGAGUGGGUUGCCAUUUCCUUCUCCAAUGCAUGAAAGUGAAAAGUGAAAGUUAAGUUGUUCAGACGUGUCCGACUCUAGCGACCCCAUGGACUGCAGCCUACCAGGCUCCUCCAUCCAUGGGAUUUUCCAGGCAAGAGUACUGGAGUGGGGUGCCAUUGCCUUCUCCGCAGUUAUACCUAGAUGUUUAUCUAUUCUUUUUCUGCUUUUUUACUCAUAUAGGUUAUUACAUUUUUUCCAGUACAGUUUCCUGUUCUAUUCAGAAAACUUAAUAUAUUAUCAACUUGAUAUAUAUUAGUGCAUAUAUUUCCAUCCCAAACUAUUAAUUUAUCCCUCUCUUCUAACUUUCUUUUGAUAAUUGGAAUUUGGUUUUCUCAGGCUGUGAGUCUGUCUGGUACAUUAGUUCACUGGUAUGAAUGUAUAGAUUCCACCCGUACGUAUCACAUAUUUGUCUCUGACUUACCUCACAUAGAAUAUAAUUUCUUGGUUCAUCCAUGCUGCUGCCAAUGUCAUCAUUUCAUUUUGUUUUACGACUGAGUAGUAUUCCAGUGUAUAGGUGUACCUCAUAGCCUUCACCUUUCUGUCACUGGACAUUUUGGUGGAUUCUAUAUCUUGGCUUUUGUAAAUAGUGUUGCCCUGAAAGUUGAGGUGCACGUGUCAUUUUGAAUGAUGAUUUUUUUCUGGACCUGAGUCCAGGAAUGGGAUUUCAGGAUCAUAUGAUACCUCUCUGUUUAGUGUUUCAAGGAACGUCCAUGAUGUUUUCCAUAGUGGCUUCACCAUUUACAUUCCCACCAGGAUUGUAGGAGGAUUCCUUUUUCUGUACAUUCUCUACAGUGUUUGUUCUUUGUAGAUCUUUUCGAUGAUGGCCACUGUGACUAAGGCAAUACCUUAUUGAAGUUUUGAUUGGCAUUGAUUUAAUAAUUAUUGAUGUGGAGUAUCUUUCCAUGUGCUUUUAUUAUUUUACACCUUGUGAGUACAGUUUACCUCUUGAAACUGGCUUCUAGAAACUUGACCCUGUUUGGAAUUCUUUUGCGAUGAUUUACCUCAGGACAUUCCUUGAGUGCAGGUGUCAUUUAAAGUCCUGCUGGACUUUUGACUAUUAAGAGCCCUUCAGCACGUGUUUUAUGGCUUCCCUGUUGGAUCAGCGGUAAGAAAUCCACCUGCAAUGCAAGAGACUUGAGGAGACACAGUUUUGAUGCCUGGGUUGGGAAGAUCCCCUGGAGAAGGAAAAGGCAACCCACUCCAGUCUUCUUGCCUGGGAAAUCCCAUGACAGAUGAGCCUGGCAGGCUACAGUCCAUGGGGUUCCAAAGAGCUGGACACGAGUGACUAAACAAAACAGCAGCUGUUUUAAUGUGUAUAUAUUGAUCUGAACCCCCUAAUUACUCCCUGCCCCCUGACAUUUCUUUUUGGUAAACAUCAAGCUUCUUUUCUAAGUCUGUGAAUCUGUUUCUCUUCUGUAAUGAAGUUCAUUUGUAUCCAUUUUUAGAUUCUGCCGGAAGUGAUAUCCUAUGAUGCUUGUCUCCCUGUUUCACUUUCUUCACUUACUGUAAAUCACCUCUGGUUUCUUCCCUGUAACUAGAAAUGUCAUUGUUUCAUCCUUUUUUAUUUCUGAGUAAUAUUGCAUUGUGUAUAUGUACCCCAUCUUCUGUAUCCAUUCAUCUGUCUUGGUACACUUAAGUUGCUUCUGUAUCUUUGCUACUGUACCUAGGGCUGCUAUGACCUUUGGGGUGCAGGUUUCUCUUUAUAUUUUGGUUUUCUCUGGAUCUACACCUAGGUAUGGUAUUGCUGGAUCACUUGGUACUUCUAUUUUUAGUUUUCUAUAAACCUCCAUAAUGUUCUCCAUAGUGGGUGUACGAUUUACAUUCCCACCAACAGUGUAAGAGGGUUCCCUUCUCUCCACCGCCUCUGGAGAAUUUACUGUUGUAGGUUUUUUGAUAUGGUCAUUUAGAUCAACCAUAUUGCCUUUCCAAUGACAAAGAAAGGUAAUGCCAAAGAAUGCUCAAAUUACUGCACAAUUGCACUCAUCUCACAUGCUAGUAAAGUAAUGCUCAAAAUUCUCCAAGCCAGGCUUUAGCAGUACGUGAACCGUGAACUUCCAGAUGUUCAAGCUGGUUUUAGAAAAGGCAGAGGAACCAGAGAUCAAAUUGCCAACAUUCGCUGGAUCAUCGAAAAAGCAAGAGUUCCCAAAAAAACCAUCCAUUUCUGUUUUAUUGACUAUGCCAAAGCCUUUGACUGUGUGAAUCACAAUAAACUGUGGAAAAUUCUGAAAGAGAUGGGAAUA